AUUUGAGAGUUUGAUCCUGGCUCAGGACGAACGCUGGCGGCGUGCCUAAUACAUGCAAGUUGAGCGCUGAAGGUUGUACUUGUACCAACUGGAUGAGCAGCGAACGGGUGAGUAACGCGUGGGGAAUCUGCCUUUGAGCGGGGGACAACAUUUGGAAACGAAUGCUAAUACCGCAUAAAAACUUUAAACACAAGUUUUAAGUUUGAAAGAUGCAAUUGCAUCACUCAAAGAUGAUCCCGCGUUGUAUUAGCUAGUUGGUGAGGUAAAGGCUCACCAAGGCGAUGAUACAUAGCCGACCUGAGAGGGUGAUCGGCCACAUUGGGACUGAGACACGGCCCAAACUCCUACGGGAGGCAGCAGUAGGGAAUCUUCGGCAAUGGACGAAAGUCUGACCGAGCAACGCCGCGUGAGUGAAGAAGGUUUUCGGAUCGUAAAACUCUGUUGGUAGAGAAGAACGUUGGUGAGAGUGGAAAGCUCAUCAAGUGACGGUAACUACCCAGAAAGGGACGGCUAACUACGUGCCAGCAGCCGCGGUAAUACGUAGGUCCCGAGCGUUGUCCGGAUUUAUUGGGCGUAAAGCGAGCGCAGGUGGUUUAUUAAGUCUGGUGUAAAAGGCAGUGGCUCAACCAUUGUAUGCAUUGGAAACUGGUAGACUUGAGUGCAGGAGAGGAGAGUGGAAUUCCAUGUUAGCGGUGAAAUGCGUAGAUAUAUGGAGGAACACCGGUGGCGAAAGCGGCUCUCUGGCCUGUAACUGACACUGAGGCUCGAAAGCGUGGGGAGCAAACAGGAUUAGAUACCCUGGUAGUCCACGCCGUAAACGAUGAGUGCUAGAUGUAGGGAGCUAUAAGUUCUCUGUAUCGCAGCUAACGCAAUAAGCACUCCGCCUGGGGAGUACGACCGCAAGGUUGAAACUCAAAGGAAUUGACGGGGGCCCGCACAAGCGGUGGAGCAUGUGGUUUAAUUCGAAGCAACGCGAAGAACCUUACCAGGUCUUGACAUACUCGUGCUAUUCCUAGAGAUAGGAAGUUCCUUCGGGACACGGGAUACAGGUGGUGCAUGGUUGUCGUCAGCUCGUGUCGUGAGAUGUUGGGUUAAGUCCCGCACGAGCGCAACCCCUAUUGUUAGUUGCCAUCAUUAAGUUGGGCACUCUAACGAGACUGCCGGUGAUAAACCGGAGGAAGGUGGGGAUGACGUCAAAUCAUCAUGCCCCUUUGACCUGGGCUACACACGUGCUACAAUGGAUGGUACAACGAGUCGCGAGACAGUGAUGUUUAGCUAAUCUCUUAAAACCAUUCUCAGUUCGGAUUGUAGGCUGCAACUCGCCUACAUGAAGUCGGAAUCGCUAGUAAUCGCGGAUCAGCACGCCGCGGUGAAUACGUUCCGGGCCUUGUACACACCGCCCGUCACACCACGGGAGUUGGGAGUACCCGAAGUAGGUUGCCUAACCGCAAGGAGGGCGCUUCCUAAGGUAAGACCGAUGACUGGGGUGAAGUCGUAACAAGGUAGCCGUAUCGGAAGGUGCGGCUGGAUCACCUCCUUU
This 1540-nucleotide ribosomal RNA is filed under the name Lactococcus lactis. Its description in RNAcentral is "bacterial SSU rRNA". It matches the Rfam family "Bacterial small subunit ribosomal RNA". The record is from RNAcentral. Lineage: Bacteria; Bacillati; Bacillota; Bacilli; Lactobacillales; Streptococcaceae.